Molecule: transfer RNA, 71 nt
Filed under: Camelus dromedarius (Arabian camel)
Lineage: Eukaryota; Metazoa; Chordata; Mammalia; Artiodactyla; Camelidae
Also listed under: 2 other names
Rfam family: tRNA
About the family: Transfer RNA (tRNA) molecules are approximately 80 nucleotides in length.
Source: Rfam by way of RNAcentral
GAGGGUAUAGCUCAAGUGGCAGAGCACAUGCUUAACAUGCAUGAGGUCCUGGGUUCAAUUCCCAGUCCUCC